RNAcentral lists this ribosomal RNA (253 nucleotides) under uncultured bacterium. RNAcentral's name for it is "partial 16S ribosomal RNA". It matches the Rfam family "Bacterial small subunit ribosomal RNA", at positions 524 to 776 of the family's 1533-position model. The record is from RNAcentral.
UACGUAGGGGGCAAGCGUUGUCCGGAUUUAUUGGGCGUAAAGAGCGUGUAGGCGGUUCGGUAGGUCCGUUGUGAAAACUCGAGGCUCAACCUCGAGACGCCGAUGGAAACCCUCGAACUAGAGUCCGGAAGAGGAGAAUGGAAUUCCUGGUGUAGCGGUGAAAUGCGCAGAUAUCAGGAGGAACACCAAUAGCGAAGGCAGCUCGCUGGGACGUUACUGACACUGAGGCGCGAAAGCGUGGGGAGCGAACAGG